Molecule: ribosomal RNA, 254 nt
Filed under: uncultured bacterium
Lineage: Bacteria
Description: partial 16S ribosomal RNA
Rfam family: Bacterial small subunit ribosomal RNA
Source: RNAcentral
GACAGAGGCCCCGAGCGUUUAGGCGGAAUCACUGGGCUUAAAGCGCGUGUAGGCGGAUCGUUAAGUGUCUUGUGAAAUCCCACGGCUCAACCGUGGAACUGCUGGGCAUACUGGCGAUCUUGGGCCACUCAGGGGUUGCCGGAACAAGCGGUGGAGCGGUGAAAUGCGUAGAUAUCGCUUGGAACGCCGAAGGUGAAGACAGGCAACUGGGAGUGCGCCGACGCUGAGACGCGAAAGCCAGGGGAGCGAACGGG